GACGAACGCUGGCGGCGUGCUUAACACAUGCAAGUCGAACGAAGAGCGAUGGAAGCUUGCUUCUAUCAAUCUUAGUGGCGAACGGGUGAGUAACGCGUAAUCAACCUGCCCUUCAGAGGGGGACAACAGUUGGAAACGGCUGCUAAUACCGCAUACGAUCUAAUCUCGGCAUCGAGGAUAGAUGAAAGGUGGCCUCUACAUGUAAGCUAUCACUGAAGGAGGGGAUUGCGUCUGAUUAGCUAGUUGGAGGGGUAACGGCCCACCAAGGCGAUGAUCAGUAGCCGGUCUGGGAGGAUGAACGGCCACAUUGGGACUGAGACACGGCCCAGACUCCUACGGGAGGCAGCAGUGGGGAAUCUUCCGCAAUGGACGAAAGUCUGACGGAGCAACGCCGCGUGAGUGAUGACGGCCUUCGGGUUGUAAAGCUCUGUUAAUCGGGACGAAAGGCCUUCUUGCGAAUAGUGAGAAGGAUUGACGGUACCGGAAUAGAAAGCCACGGCUAACUACGUG
This 510-nucleotide ribosomal RNA is filed under the name uncultured bacterium. RNAcentral's name for it is "partial 16S ribosomal RNA". It matches the Rfam family "Bacterial small subunit ribosomal RNA", at positions 28 to 507 of the family's 1533-position model. The record is from RNAcentral.